This 1435-nucleotide ribosomal RNA is filed under the name Mammaliicoccus sciuri. RNAcentral's name for it is "bacterial SSU rRNA". It matches the Rfam family "Bacterial small subunit ribosomal RNA". The record is from RNAcentral. Lineage: Bacteria; Bacillati; Bacillota; Bacilli; Caryophanales; Staphylococcaceae.
UCGAGCGAACAGAUGAGAAGCUUGCUUCUCUGAUGUUAGCGGCGGACGGGUGAGUAACACGUGGGUAACCUACCUAUAAGACUGGGAUAACUCCGGGAAACCGGGGCUAAUACCGGAUAAUAUUUUGAACCGCAUGGUUCGAUAGUGAAAGACGGUUUCGGCUGUCACUUAUAGAUGGACCCGCGCCGUAUUAGCUAGUUGGUAAGGUAACGGCUUACCAAGGCGACGAUACGUAGCCGACCUGAGAGGGUGAUCGGCCACACUGGAACUGAGACACGGUCCAGACUCCUACGGGAGGCAGCAGUAGGGAAUCUUCCGCAAUGGGCGAAAGCCUGACGGAGCAACGCCGCGUGAGUGAUGAAGGUCUUCGGAUCGUAAAACUCUGUUGUUAGGGAAGAACAAAUUUGUUAGUAACUGAACAAGUCUUGACGGUACCUAACCAGAAAGCCACGGCUAACUACGUGCCAGCAGCCGCGGUAAUACGUAGGUGGCAAGCGUUAUCCGGAAUUAUUGGGCGUAAAGCGCGCGUAGGCGGUUUCUUAAGUCUGAUGUGAAAGCCCACGGCUCAACCGUGGAGGGUCAUUGGAAACUGGGAAACUUGAGGUGCAGAAGAGGAGAGUUGGAGUUCCAUGUGUAGCGGUGAAAUGCGCAGAGAUAUGGAGGAACACCAGUGGCGAAGGCGGCUCUCUGGUCUGUAACUGACGCUGAUGUGCGAAAGCGUGGGGAUCAAACAGGAUUAGAUACCCUGGUAGUCCACGCCGUAAACGAUGAGUGCUAAGUGUUAGGGGGUUUCCGCCCCUUAGUGCUGCAGCUAACGCAUUAAGCACUCCGCCUGGGGAGUACGACCGCAAGGUUGAAACUCAAAGGAAUUGACGGGGACCCGCACAAGCGGUGGAGCAUGUGGUUUAAUUCGAAGCAACGCGAAGAACCUUACCAAAUCUUGACAUCCUUUGACCGCUCUAGAGAUAGAGUCUUCCCCUUCGGGGGACAAAGUGACAGGUGGUGCAUGGUUGUCGUCAGCUCGUGUCGUGAGAUGUUGGGUUAAGUCCCGCAACGAGCGCAACCCUUAAGCUUAGUUGCCAUCAUUAAGUUGGGCACUCUAGGUUGACUGCCGGUGACAAACCGGAGGAAGGUGGGGAUGACGUCAAAUCAUCAUGCCCCUUAUGAUUUGGGCUACACACGUGCUACAAUGGAUAAUACAAAGGGCAGCGAAUCCGCGAGGCCAAGCAAAUCCCAUAAAAUUAUUCUCAGUUCGGAUUGUAGUCUGCAACUCGACUACAUGAAGCUGGAAUCGCUAGUAAUCGUAGAUCAGCAUGCUACGGUGAAUACGUUCCCGGGUCUUGUACACACCGCCCGUCACACCACGAGAGUUUGUAACACCCGAAGCCGGUGGAGUAACCUUUUAGGAGCUAGCCGUCGAAGGUGGGACAAAUGA